GCAGUACAUGUAGAGGACGGUGUCGGCGGCGGCUCUGUAGAGCAUGAGGAUCAUGAGGAGAGUGGAGGUGAGGACGAUCUGGGUGACAAAAGCCCAGUCUUUCCAGGCCCAGCCGUCGGAGCCAAGGAGGAAGGAGGUCCAGAGGAGGAGGGCCUGAAGGGAAGCGAAGAAGAGGAAGGAGGAGGCGGCGACGGGGGUCAUUCCUUUGACGAGAGAGGCGCUUCGGCGGAGGGGUUGGUAGCCCCAGGUGGACUCCGCGACGACGAUGACGGGGGCGAGAGACCAGGAGACGCGGAGGUAGAGCAGGGAGAGGAGUAGGGCGAGGAGGAG
RNAcentral lists this long non-coding RNA (330 nucleotides) under Phaseolus vulgaris (common bean). Its description in RNAcentral is "long non-coding RNA (PVUL_LNC004454)". Lineage: Eukaryota; Viridiplantae; Streptophyta; Magnoliopsida; Fabales; Fabaceae. The record is from RNAcentral.